AGGAAUUCUAAGUUUCAUAUCCUGCCUUUGUGCUCGGUAGCGGGAGACGGAACUUUAUGGAAACCGUCACGAGAUUUGGGUCACUGGCAUGUUGUACCACUUGGGACUCGGACCCAAGCAUCAGUGACCUUACGUAAACGAGCGGUUCCAUAAGGGAGUUUGGGACAGUCCAUGGCAUCAUGGCAUUGAUGAGCACUCUACUGAUUAUCCUCCUUUGUAGAUUCAUAUCUGAA
RNAcentral lists this long non-coding RNA (233 nucleotides) under Setaria italica (foxtail millet). RNAcentral's name for it is "long non-coding RNA (SITA_LNC002984)". Lineage: Eukaryota; Viridiplantae; Streptophyta; Magnoliopsida; Poales; Poaceae. The record is from RNAcentral.